This is a long non-coding RNA of Catharus ustulatus (Swainson's thrush), 555 nucleotides long. RefSeq lists it as uncharacterized. The record is from RefSeq and is a predicted model, not a curated record. The transcript is spliced from 3 exons. NCBI's taxonomy places the organism in Eukaryota, Metazoa, Chordata, Aves, Passeriformes, Turdidae.
CAGUAUUUAGGAUAUGUGAAUUUGUAUAACUGAGUCUUAACUACAACUCUAAUGAUUUUUUUUUGUAUUAUUAGGUCAAACUAUUAUUUGAGAGUAUUCCUUAGCAGUCAUUUCCCAUCUCUCAACUUGAAGGGAGAAGGCACCCAAGGGGCCCCAAACUGCACUCCAAGCCAGGAAUCCACAAUUCAGAAUACAUGAAAUGCCAAAGAAUGACAAAUGCAAACUGCACAAGAGAGAACAGAGGUAUGUUUGGCAAUCAUUCUGUGGUGGAUCCUCCCUCCUACAAAGAAUUCAUGGCAUUUCUGAUACCUGCUCUGAGCAGAACUCAGUGAGCCAGUAAACAGACAUGCAACUGGAGUUUUAUGGUUAGAAAAGCUGCUCAGUAGUGCCUGAGCAUAGUGAAAUUCUUCAUUUGUAAAGCAGAAAUUACAUUUUCAACAUCCACAGCCAGCACACCGCUUUAGCACAGGACUGUAAAUAAGUACAUGUAAUAGAGUGUAACAGAGUGUUCGUGUUACAGUGUUCGUGUUGCAGUGUUAAUGUAAGAGUGUUCAU